RNAcentral lists this ribosomal RNA (492 nucleotides) under uncultured bacterium. RNAcentral describes it as "partial 16S ribosomal RNA". It matches the Rfam family "Bacterial small subunit ribosomal RNA", at positions 29 to 507 of the family's 1533-position model. The record is from RNAcentral.
AGUGAACGCUGGCGGUAGGCCUAACACAUGCAAGUCGAACGGCAGCACAGUAAGAGCUUGCUCUUACGGGUGGCGAGUGGCGGACGGGUGAGGAAUACAUCGGAAUCUACUUUUUCGUGGGGGAUAACGUAGGGAAACUUACGCUAAUACCGCAUACGACCUACGGGUGAAAGCAGGGGAUCUUCGGACCUUGCGCGAUUGAAUGAGCCGAUGUCGGAUUAGCUAGUUGGCGGGGUAAAGGCCCACCAAGGCGACGAUCCGUAGCUGGUCUGAGAGGAUGAUCAGCCACACUGGAACUGAAACACGGUACAGACUCCUACGGGAGGCAGCAGUGGGGAAUAUUGGACAAUGGGCGCAAGCCUGAUCAAGCCAUACCGCGUGGGUGAAGAAGGCCUUCGGGUUGUAAAGCCCUUUUGUUGGGAAAGAAAAGCAGCAGGUUAAUACCCCGCUGUUCUGACGGUACCCAAAGAAUAAGCACCGGCUAACUUCGUG